GAUUGGUGCUUGCAUCAUGAUUUACAUUUGAGUGAGUGGCGAACUGGUGAGUAACACGUGGGAAACCUGCCCAGAAGCGGGGGAUAACACCUGGAAACAGAUGCUAAUACCGCAUAACAACUUGGACCGCAUGGUCCGAGUUUGAAAGAUGGCUUCGGCUAUCACUUUUGGAUGGUCCCGCGGCGUAUUAGCUAGAUGGUGGGGUAACGGCUCACCAUGGCAAUGAUACGUAGCCGACCUGAGAGGGUAAUCGGCCACAUUGGGACUGAGACACGGCCCAACUCCUACGGGAGGCAGCAGUAGGGAAUCUUCCACAAUGGACGAAAGUCUGAUGGAGCAACGCCGCGUGAGUGAAGAAGGGUUUCGGCUCGUAAAACUCUGUUGUUAAAGAAGAACAUAUCUGAGAGUAACUGUUCAGGUAUUGACGGUAUUUAACCAGAAAGCCACGGCUAACUACGUGCCAGCAGCCGCGGUAAUACGUAGGUGGCAAGCGUUGUCCGGAUUUAUUGGGCGUAAAGCGAGCGCAGGCGGUUUUUUAAGUCUGAUGUGAAAGCCUUCGGCUCAACCGAAGAAGUGCAUCGGAAACUGGGAAACUUGAGUGCAGAAGAGGACAGUGGAACUCCAUGUGUAGCGGUGAAAUGCGUAGAUAUAUGGAAGAACACCAGUGGCGAAGGCGGCUGUCUGGUCUGUAACUGACGCUGAGGCUCGAAAGUAUGGGUAGCAAACAGGAUUAGAUACCCUGGUAGUCCAUACCGUAAACGAUGAAUGCUAAGUGUUGGAGGGUUUCCGCCCUUCAGUGCUGCAGCUAACGCAUUAAGCAUUCCGCCUGGGGAGUACGGCCGCAAGGCUGAAACUCAAAGGAAUUGACGGGGGCCCGCACAAGCGGUGGAGCAUGUGGUUUAAUUCGAAGCUACGCGAAGAACCUUACCAGGUCUUGACAUACUAUGCAAAUCUAAGAGAUUAGACGUUCCCUUCGGGGACAUGGAUACAGGUGGUGCAUGGUUGUCGUCAGCUCGUGUCGUGAGAUGUUGGGUUAAGUCCCGCAACGAGCGCAACCCUUAUUAUCAGUUGCCAGCAUUAAGUUGGGCACUCUGGUGAGACUGCCGGUGACAAACCGGAGGAAGGUGGGGAUGACGUCAAAUCAUCAUGCCCCUUAUGACCUGGGCUACACACGUGCUACAAUGGAUGGUACAACGAGUUGCGAACUCGCGAGAGUAAGCUAAUCUCUUAAAGCCAUUCUCAGUUCGGAUUGUAGGCUGCAUCUCGCCUACAUGAAGUC
Molecule: ribosomal RNA, 1279 nt
Filed under: Lactiplantibacillus plantarum
Lineage: Bacteria; Bacillati; Bacillota; Bacilli; Lactobacillales; Lactobacillaceae
Description: bacterial SSU rRNA
Rfam family: Bacterial small subunit ribosomal RNA
Source: RNAcentral